GCGGGUGUGGCGGAACUGGCAGACGCGCUAGAUUUAGGUUCUAGUGUCUUACGACGUGGGGGUUCGAGUCCCUUCACCCGCA
Molecule: transfer RNA, 82 nt
Rfam family: tRNA
About the family: Transfer RNA (tRNA) molecules are approximately 80 nucleotides in length.
Source: Rfam